This 219-nucleotide unclassified non-coding RNA is filed under the name plant metagenome. RNAcentral describes it as "partial contains small subunit ribosomal RNA and internal transcribed spacer 1". The record is from RNAcentral.
AAGUCGUAACAAGGUUUCCGAUAGGUGAACCUCGGGAAGGGACGUUAAUGAUUGCGAAUGGUUACCUUCGGUGCUUGGCUCUUGCAAGCGCACGUUGGUGGCUUUCAUCCAAUACCCUUGUGAACCUUUGGCCCUCUUGCUAGCUUCGGCUGGCAGGAGGAUUUUUACACACUCGAAUGUAAUGAAAAGCUAUUGUCGUGCGCAAGCACUAAUGUACAA